Long non-coding RNA from Melanotaenia boesemani (Boeseman's rainbowfish), 2896 nucleotides. RefSeq lists it as uncharacterized. NCBI's taxonomy places the organism in Eukaryota, Metazoa, Chordata, Actinopteri, Atheriniformes, Melanotaeniidae. The transcript is spliced from 2 exons. The record is from RefSeq and is a predicted model, not a curated record.
UAUGAGGCCUGCAGCUUUGAUUGUAUUAUAUAAAUAAUUUAAAGGGCGUUCACAUUAAUGUAUGAAUAGUGUGUGUGUCAUUCUAAUCUUGCUGUAAUAGAAACUUGGACCUUGAAAACAUAGUAUAAUGCGAUAUACAUGUUAAUAUUCUCAAUCACAGAACCACAAAAAUGGUUUAAUUUGAAAUCACAUGUAUAAAAGCCAAGUAAUAAGUCAUUCUUCAAUGAGAACCUGUAAAAUUUGUUAAGGUAUUUUUGCAUGAUCCAAGGUGUGACAUAGUUGAUUGACUGUAGAAUUUGGACUUUAUCUCAUUGAAACAAUUCUUAUUAUAGCUGUAUAAACUUAAAAAUUUUGAUCAAGCUCCCCCUAUAUGGAGCACCAAAAUGGUACAUUCCAGUCUCUCCUCCUCUCCCUCUCAUUCCCCUCCCUCCUGCUCCCAGUGUCCUCCAUCUCUCCGCUGUCUCUCAUUUUCCUAUAUUAAGGACAUCCUAACUUCACAAGACUGAUCUGCCGCCUCCUCCUCCUCCAUCUAUUAUUCUUCUAGUCUUUACAAAGCUACUGGAAAGUGAAGCAGCACAGAGCCGACCUUAUAAAGAGUUCUCCUGACCAGACCACACCUCUGUCCCAGAGUCCAUGGAAACCAAGACCAAGUCUGGUGCUUCAGUGCCCAAGGCAGCAUCUAAAGCAGAGAAGAAGGAGCCAGCAGCCCCACGCAAGCCUGACCCUGACCCUGCUGUCCCUGAGCCUGAGAAUCCCCCUCCUGCCCAGGAUGGAGCAGCAGAAGCUGAAUCAGCAGGUGAAGGGGCUGCGGCCCCUGGCACAGACUCCAUGGAACACCUGAAACCCUUUCUGAUUGGUGGGGUUGUCAUUGCUGCAGGAGCCAUCUUGCUGGGAGUAUUGCUGCUGGCGAGGAGAAAUUAAAAUCAAAUCAUUAAAUGAAGUUAGAAUAUUUAUUGGUUCAUGAAUUAGAUUCUUAUUUCUGACUGGUUCACAGACAAUUGUCGUGCAGAUGGGAAAUGGGAAGACACUGUGCAUUCUGUGCUUUUUUGGGUAUUAUUUUUAUUCAUUUUUUGGCCUGCUCUCACUUGUAGUGAAUCAACCAACUCAAGUUUGAUCAAACUGCAAUGAAACAUAUUUAUACACAAUAUAUGCAUGUAGUUGCUACAAUGUUGCAUAUGAAAUGUAUUUAUCUAUUUAAAAGAAAAAAAUAAGAAAAAAAUACUUUGGGCCUAAACUCUCUAAAGGAAGCUUUAUCUGCUCUAACUGCUUUAUCUUUUUUAAUCUAGAUUGUACAAAUAUUGGUAUAAGGUUGCAAUAUUUGUGCACUCUGGCACCGGAAAUGAGCUUGGUUCUUUUUGCUUAAAGAUUGUGAAAAUUUGUAUUCACUGUAUUUGUAGUGCUCUUGGGAAACCAGAGUCAAUGUUUUUGUCUUAAUUUUUCCUUUAGAUUAAUACAGUUGAAAGAGCUGAUAAAAGAACAGUUGGAUUUAUGCAACGUGAUGUAUUGCAUAUAUUUUGGCUAGAGAAACGUGUACCCAGGUAGCCAACUGAUUUAGGCAUAUUGAGGUUAAGUAUGGAUAGACUCCACUGAGCUCUGGUAAAAGCAGAUUUUUGGUGAGCAAACUCUGGUCCAAUACUCCCUGCCACAUUUGGUGAGAACUUGGGUUUGUGAUUUUAUGCCAGUUUGCUUUGAGAAUGAGAAGAUUUAACAUCCAACACCAUUAUGUACCAAAUAUAGUGACGUGACUUUUUGAAGAAGAUAUAGACCUGAUUCAGUUUCAUCUUUAAGACAUAGACCAAUCAAUUUGGGGUGAUUCUAUGGCGCUCUUCCUACCUUACCAAGUUUUUAUUCUUCUCUGCUAGAUAUUUUUUUUUUUAUAAAAACACAAAACCAAAAAUGGAGCAAUGAAAUCUAAAGUCGUGAAACCUUUUUUUGCUCCCAGAGACAAAACAUAAAAGCAUGCAAUAGUUGAGGAUGAAUAUGCAAGUGAUUAUUGGACUUUUAUCAUGUACUCUAAGGAAAAGAGAAUAGUAGCAAAGUUAGGUUUUGAUGUAAAAUAAGAAAGAAAUUUAUUUAUUUUACUGUCAAAUGAUAUCAGAAAUCAAUAACCUUUCAUGUCUUAGGAACACAAUCAUGCUAGUUCAUGCCUGCUGCCAAAAUGUGGGAGAUGUGUCCUCACUCUGCUCUUCUAAUAUUUUCAAAAGUACUUACCAAAACAUAUAAGGAGAGCAACUUUGAUUCCAUGCAAGUGGGGUGUAAAUGUACUGUCAUUUAGUUCCCAUCAAAGGGGAAAAGCUGCCCUAUUGCUGCACACACUCACCUGUACAGCUGCACACUAUUUUUUUCAAUUUGCAUUGCAAAACUCAUUGACUUGUUCAUGUUGUAAAAGUAGACAGCAGAAUGACAAUUCUCACACUCAGACCAAAAGUAUUGUAUGAACAUAACACAUCCACCACAGUAAACACCCCUAACAUAUUCAAAAGAUAGUAUGCCAACACCAAAACAAAUUUCACCUACAUUGUACUAUAGUGUACUACAAAAAAAAAAAGAGAAAAAAGAAGAAAAAAAAAGAAAUUUCCUAUUUUCAUAAUUUUAACAGCGUAUAAAUGCAAUAAUUCAGGUAGAACUCCUCAUUUAGCACAUGUGCUGUAGCAAGUUCUAUUACAUAGAUGAUGUAAUGAUGUAUGAUGUUAUUGAAGGCAGUGUUGAUGAUGUUACAUGAUGCCAGUGAUAGCGAUGAUAUUAAGAGUGACUGUAAUGAUAACAAUGAUGGAUAUAUAUAUAUUUUUUUUAUAUUAUUUAACAUAGUGUCCUUAUGCACCUUCCCUGCUGCCUCCAAAUGUCUAAAUGUAAAAAAAGUUUGAAAUACAACCUUAUUAAAGACAGUGAACCAGUC